AUUUGGUGUCUUAAUUGCUGAUAUAUUUUUAUGUAGACUUUGUCAAAAUUGAAAAGAUUUGAUUUAACGAACGAUUUUAUGAAUUUAUUUUAAUUAGUACGUCGGCGGGGUUUUAUGGAAAAAAAAAGAUUUGAUUUAGGACAAGAUUAGAACUUCAAUCAAUUUGGGAGAGAUGAAGUAUCUCAAGACGACCACCACUGAACAUGAUAGAAACAUAUACGACAGGGUAUCAAUGAAAGAGAAAACGGGAAAAUGUUGCAUAAAAGAUGUCGGCGACCAUGAGCACUCGAGAGGGUUGUUCGGAUACUGCCUUGUAUGCAAAAAAGAAAAAGAAAAAACACGACAUAAACAUUUUUCGGAGAGCAUCUUACUUUUUGAGUAGUAUUAUUAGUAAGAUUUGAGAAAUCUUUGAUUAUGGACCUGCAAUUUCACAAGAUAUAUGUUACGUGCGUUGGAGCCUUGUGGCCGUGUUUAAGCAAUAGCACUAGUCUUUAGUUACUUGCUCAGCAGUUCAAAGGGAAAAUUGAAUGUAAGGUGUACAUUGUAGUAGUUUUAUGUACAAUAAGUUGGUCAAAAUACGAA
RNAcentral lists this long non-coding RNA (582 nucleotides) under Hordeum vulgare. Its description in RNAcentral is "long non-coding RNA (HVUL_LNC008771)". The record is from RNAcentral. Lineage: Eukaryota; Viridiplantae; Streptophyta; Magnoliopsida; Poales; Poaceae.